RNAcentral lists this ribosomal RNA (253 nucleotides) under uncultured bacterium. RNAcentral describes it as "partial 16S ribosomal RNA". It matches the Rfam family "Bacterial small subunit ribosomal RNA", at positions 524 to 776 of the family's 1533-position model. The record is from RNAcentral.
UACGGAGGGUGCGAACGUUAAUCGGAAUCACUGGGCGUAAAGCGCGCGUAGGCGGUUUGUUAAGUGGGAUGUGAAAUCCCCGGGCUUAACCUGGGAAUUGCAUUUCAAACUGGCCGACUAGAGUACGGUAGAGGGGGGUGGAAUUCCGCGUGUAGCAGUGAAAUGCGUAGAGAUGCGGAGGAACACCGAUGGCGAAGGCAGCCCCCUGGGCCAAUACUGACGCUCAGGCACGAAAGCGUGGGGAGCAAACAGG